RNAcentral lists this non-coding RNA (30 nucleotides) under Mus musculus (house mouse). The record is from RNAcentral. Lineage: Eukaryota; Metazoa; Chordata; Mammalia; Rodentia; Muridae.
UGGGUUCAUUUUCUACAUAUUCCAUGUGGA